Molecule: small RNA, 212 nt
Filed under: Arabidopsis thaliana (thale cress)
Lineage: Eukaryota; Viridiplantae; Streptophyta; Magnoliopsida; Brassicales; Brassicaceae
Description: ATSL060950
Source: RNAcentral
GUUUACAAUAUAUUGGUACACAACCAAUUAAGUGGGUGAUUGGUUCGUCUGUAACUGUAGAUUUAUUGCUGUAAAAUUUUUGUUGUAGGUGUGAUGGAUAUGGCUGUAGGUUUUAUUGCUGUAGAAAUUAGACUGUAGGUUUUAUUUAUAUAAUAUUAUUAUUUAAAGAAAUUGGUUGUAGAAAUAAGAUUUUGAUUGUAUGCAUUUUUAAA